Molecule: long non-coding RNA, 827 nt
Organism: Erigeron canadensis
Lineage: Eukaryota; Viridiplantae; Streptophyta; Magnoliopsida; Asterales; Asteraceae
Exons: 2
Source: RefSeq, a predicted model, not a curated record
UCUUCCAACAUUCCCUUUCUCCCUCUUCACAUAAAAUUAGAGUUUUAUGAUAAAACAAACAAAAAUCUUUAUUCUCUUCCAUACCAGAUUUCAUUAUUAUCCUACCACUCCUUCGACGCAAUUGAAUUUCAUCACUCCUUCAAAUCCAUGUCAUUACCAAACCUCCCCAAACAUUUCCCUUAAAACUCACAUAUAUUAUCACGAUCAUUUGCAUUCAUACAACAUUUCUUCCAUUCAACGUACAAUCUUGCACCAAAUUGAAAUUCUCCAGAUUUUGCGACAACUCUCACACUGCACUUCCUUAUAGUAACAUUUAUCCCCAACAACCUUUUUCUUCUUCUUUAAUAAUUUUGAUAUACACAACGUAUAUUACUUUGCUUUCUAUUUUGAUAUCUCUUUGCAAAAACACCACCAUGAAGACAAACCCACCCCAUCCCUUUUCACAUUUCAAUUUCUAUCUGCAACUUCGUCAUUGAAAGAUGAUGGUCGGAAGUGUAACCAAGGUCGUCCUGGUAGAUGGAGGUCAUUUGAGAUGGGUGGCGGCGGUGGUGGUUGUAGAUGGAGUUGAUGUUGAUGAUGAUAAAGAAGAGAGAGAGAGUAGCAGGUGAAGAAGGCAGAAGAAAAGAAGAACAUAUGGUGUUUUAGAGGUAAAACGACAAAACACCACGUGAAGCAAACGAAGAGUUGCAAACGGAGUUUGGAAGAGGGGCGUGUGAUGAAGCAAAAGGUCACCACAUGGUGAUGAAAUAAUGAAAAAAAUGACAAGGUAAAAAAUUGAUAAAACAACAAAUCACAUGGUGAUCUAAUAAAAUUUUCUCUUAUAUUUA